This 455-nucleotide ribosomal RNA is filed under the name uncultured bacterium. Its description in RNAcentral is "bacterial SSU rRNA". It matches the Rfam family "Bacterial small subunit ribosomal RNA", at positions 340 to 786 of the family's 1533-position model. The record is from RNAcentral.
UACGGAAGGCAGCAGUGGGGAAUAUUGCACAAUGGGCGCAAGCCUGAUGCAGCCAUGCCGCGUGUAUGAAAAAGGCCUUCGGGUUGUAAAGUACUUUCAGUCGUGAGGAAGGUGUUAAGGUUAAUAACCUUAGCAAUUGACGUUAGCGACAGAAGAAGCACCGGCUAACUCCGUGCCAGCAGCCGCGGUAAUACGGAGGGUGCGAGCGUUAAUCGGAAUUACUGGGCGUAAAGGGCACGCAGGCGGUUAAUUAAGUUGGAUGUGAAAUCCCCGGGCUUAACCUGGGAAUGGCAUUCAAGACUGGUUAGCUAGAGUUUUUGUAGAGGGGGUAGAAUUCCAUGUGUAGCGGUGAAAUGCGUAGAGAUGUGGAGGAAUACCGGUGGCGAAGGCGGCCCCUGGACAAAGACUGACGCUCAUGUGCGAAAGCGUGGGGAGCAAACGAGGGAUUAGAUACC